CUACGGGUGGCUCCAGUCGAGAAUCAUUCGCAAUGCGCGCAAGCGUGACGAUGCGACGCCGCGUGCCUGAUGAAGUUCUUCGGGAUGUAAAGGGCUUUUCUUCAAGAACAAGUCCCGCUUUUGGCGGGAUUGAGGGUAUUGGAGGAAUAAGGGGUUGCUAAACUCGUGCCAGCAGCCGCGGUAAUACGAGUGCCCCGAGCGUUGUCCGGAAUCACUGGGCGUAAAGGGUGUGUAGGGGGCGUUGUUAGUCCCGCUUUAAAUUUUUAUGCUUAACAUAAAAGGUGGGCGGGAUACGGCAGCGCUGGAGGACGCGAGAGGUUGAUGGAACUCUGGGUGUAGGGGUGAAAUCCGUUGAUAUCCAGGGGAACACCGAAUGCGAAGGCAGUCAACUGGCGCGUACCUGACCCUGAAACACGAAAGCGUGGGUAGCGAAAAGGAUUAGAUACCCUCGUAGUC
RNAcentral lists this ribosomal RNA (456 nucleotides) under uncultured bacterium. RNAcentral describes it as "partial 16S ribosomal RNA". It matches the Rfam family "Bacterial small subunit ribosomal RNA", at positions 339 to 795 of the family's 1533-position model. The record is from RNAcentral.